RNAcentral lists this ribosomal RNA (271 nucleotides) under uncultured bacterium. RNAcentral describes it as "partial 16S ribosomal RNA". It matches the Rfam family "Bacterial small subunit ribosomal RNA", at positions 524 to 792 of the family's 1533-position model. The record is from RNAcentral.
UACGUAGGUGGCAAGCGUUAUCCGGGAUUAUUGGGCGUAAAGCGCGCGUUGGCGGUUUCUUAAGUCUGAUGUGAAAGCCCACGGCUCAACCGUGGAGGGUCAUUGGAAACUGGGAAACUUGAGUGCAGAAGAGGAAAGUGGAAUUCCAUGUGUAGCGGUGAAAUGCGCAGAGAUAUGGAGGAACACCAGUGGCGAAGGCGACUUUCUGGUCUGUAACUGACGCUGAUGUGCGAAAGCGUGGGGAUCAAACAGGAUUAGAUACCCCCCAUCA